Molecule: ribosomal RNA, 426 nt
Filed under: uncultured Candidatus Udaeobacter sp.
Lineage: Bacteria; Pseudomonadati; Verrucomicrobiota; Spartobacteria; Chthoniobacterales; Chthoniobacteraceae
Description: bacterial SSU rRNA
Rfam family: Bacterial small subunit ribosomal RNA
Source: RNAcentral
UCGAGAAUUUUUCUCAAUGGGGGAAACCCUGAAGGAGCGACGCCGCGUGGAGGAUGAAGGUCUUCGGGUUGUAAACUCCUGUCAUUUGGGAACAAGUCGUACGUAGUAACUAUACGUGCGUUGAUAGUACCAGAAGAGGAAGAGACGGCUAACUCUGUGCCAGCAGCCGCGGUAAUACAGAGGUCUCAAGCGUUGUUCGGAUUCAUUGGGCGUAAAGGGUGUGUAGGUGGCGCCGUAAGUCGGGUGUGAAAUUUCGGAGCUUAACUCCGAAACUGCAUUCGAUACUGCGGUGCUUGAGGACUGGAGAGGAGACUGGAAUUCAUGGUGUAGCAGUGAAAUGCGUAGAGAUCAUGAGGAAGACCAGUGGCGAAGGCGGGUCUCUGGACAGUUCCUGACACUGAGACACGAAGGCCAGGGGAGCAAACG